Molecule: long non-coding RNA, 1625 nt
Organism: Hyla sarda
Lineage: Eukaryota; Metazoa; Chordata; Amphibia; Anura; Hylidae
Exons: 2
Source: RefSeq, a predicted model, not a curated record
GAUAAGCGCUAUGAAGAGAAGAAUGAUGGAGUCUUGUGGGAGUCAGAGGGGAGGCGAAAAGAUGGCGAGAAUGGAGUCUGGGAGGUGUACCAUCGGAGCGGUGAAGAAGAGAAUACAGCUGAGGGCGAGAAGACAACAACAGCUGAACCAUCCACAGUUCACCUUCGACAAAGACGGGGACUGCAUUAUGACGGACGUCAGUCCUGAUCCUGAGCAGUUCACGUAUGAGCCAGAUGGGUCCUGUGUGAUGAGGGAUGUCUCUUGAGCCUGAGGAAGCUGUAUCUCCAUUUUUUUUUUUUUUUUUUAACAUCUAUUGGGAACUCAAUUACCAUCACUAGAGUUUCCCAAUAACAUCUAUAACAUCUGAGGCUCCUGACAUCUAAACCAUCUGAGGUUCCUGACAUCUGAGGCUCCUGACAUCUAUAUCAUCUGAGGUUCCUGACAUCUGAGGUUCCUGACAUCUGAGGUUCCUGACAUCUGAGGUUCCUGACAUCUGAGGUUCCUGACAUCUGAGGUUCCUGACAUCUAUACCAUCUGAGGUUCCUGACAUCUGAGGUUCCUGACAUCUGAGGUUCCUGACAUCUAUAUCAUCUGAGGUUCCUGACUUCUGAGGAUCUCAUGAAGACUCAUCGGGUGUCCUGGCUCCAUAUAACACAAGAUUCCAGUUUGGGAUAAACGUUACCUCAUCCAGGUGGAUCGUGCUGGCUCAGCUCACGAGGGUGCCUCCAGCUGUUACAAAAGUACAACUUCCAGGAUGCCCAGACAGCCAAAGCCAUCUAUCUAUUUCAUAUCUACACCAAACGAAAAAAGUCCUGCGGCACUCCAAAAAUAAAGGUGAAUAAGGUUUAUUAACCUGACAUCAAAGAGAUGUUUCAGCUGCCCGAUUGCAGCCUUUCUCAAGCUCGGAGCUCUGACUGUUAGGGAAAUGACGUAAGCAAAAAGGGAGGAACCUGGUUACCUUAAAGCUCAGACUGCCACACAGUUCAAGUAUAUGGCCGCCAUCAGUGCUGUAUCGGCACCAAGCUAAAAAUGGGAGCCUAUACAAAUCCUAUUUGAGAACAUCUUUGUUACGUACUUACCUGAUUCCUGAUGAUCGCUUAUGGCAAGAAACACGUAGAAUCUGUUGGACAACUGUCUAUGGGCUUUAACCAUAUACCUGGGGAGAUGAAAUAAGCCAGAGGAACUAUAGCCAAAGACGCAUAACCUGCGAUAUCCACUGAAUCAGGAGGAACAGUUCGCACCAUCUGACUGCAAGUCGGCACGUUUGAAGCAAGUUCUGGAUAUCAGGUUCUUUCUGUCUUUAUAGUGCUGUAUGAACUGUCUAUAUACCAUGCACGGGACUGCCAUACCCAGUGCAGACUACAGAGCAAUAACCAUAUGAACUUUACCUACAAAUUUCUAUAGUGUCGGGACUGUUUUAUCUGACUUCUACCUAAAGCAUGUUCCUCUAUUGGCCAUAUACUGAAAGAGACUGCACUGCUCCCCAGGGCUAUACAAUAAUAUGGCAUUUAUGUACAUGUUUUCAACUUUGUGUACAUCAUUUAUGUUUGCACCAGCACUAUUUGUGGCGGCCGGGUGUUUGAUAUUUUAAAUUUUUUUUCUAUGAAUAAAUCAAAUUAAUAACA